UGGCUCAGAUGGUAAAGUGUCUGCCUGCAAUGCAGGACACCUGGGUUCGAUCCCCAG
This 57-nucleotide transfer RNA is filed under the name Ovis aries (sheep). It matches the Rfam family "tRNA", at positions 8 to 63 of the family's 71-position model. From Rfam's summary of the family: Transfer RNA (tRNA) molecules are approximately 80 nucleotides in length. Their secondary structure includes four short double-helical elements and three loops (D, anti-codon, and T loops). The record is from Rfam by way of RNAcentral. Lineage: Eukaryota; Metazoa; Chordata; Mammalia; Artiodactyla; Bovidae.